UACGUAGGGGGCGAGCGUUAUCCGGAUUUAUUGGGCGUAAAGCGUGUGUAGGUGGUUCGUAAGGUCAGGCGUAAAAGAACACAGCUUAACUGUGUAGGGCGUUUGAAACCGACGGACUUGAAUACGGUAGAGGCAGGUGGAAUUCCAUGUGUAGCGGUGGAAUGCGUAGAUAUAUGGAGGAACACCAAUGGCGAAGGCAACCUGCUGGGCCGGAAUUGACACUGAGACACGAAAGCGUGGGGAGCAAACAGG
RNAcentral lists this ribosomal RNA (252 nucleotides) under uncultured bacterium. Its description in RNAcentral is "partial 16S ribosomal RNA". It matches the Rfam family "Bacterial small subunit ribosomal RNA", at positions 524 to 776 of the family's 1533-position model. The record is from RNAcentral.